UCACCGGCCCUUUUCAGGGCCACCCAUCCACUCAAAAAGAGCUGU
Branchiostoma floridae (Florida lancelet) is the source of this 45-nucleotide non-coding RNA. Lineage: Eukaryota; Metazoa; Chordata; Leptocardii; Amphioxiformes; Branchiostomatidae. The record is from Rfam.